This 489-nucleotide ribosomal RNA is filed under the name uncultured bacterium. Its description in RNAcentral is "partial 16S ribosomal RNA". It matches the Rfam family "Bacterial small subunit ribosomal RNA", at positions 30 to 506 of the family's 1533-position model. The record is from RNAcentral.
AUUGAACGCUGGCGGCAGGCCUAACACAUGCAAGUCGAACGGUAACAGGAAGCAGCUUGCUGCUUUGCUGACGAGUGGCGGACGGGUGAGUAAUGUCUGGGAAACUGCCCGAUGGAGGGGGAUAACUACUGGAAACGGUAGCUAAUACCGCAUAACGUCGCAAGACCAAAGAGGGGGACCUUAGGGCCUCUUGCCAUCGGAUGUGCCCAGAUGGGGUUAGCUAGUAGGUGGGGUAACGGCUCACCUAGGCGACGAUCCCUAGCUGGUCUGAGAGGAGAACCAGCCACACGGGAACUGAGACACGGUCCAGACUCCUACGGGAGGCAGCAGUGGGGAAUAUUGCACAAUGGGCGCAAGCCUGAUGCAGCCAUGCCGCGUGUAUGAAGAAGGCCUUCGGGUUGUAAAGUACUUUCAGCGGGGAGGAAGGGAGUAAAGUUAAUACCUUUGCUCAUGGACGUUACCCGCAGAAGAAACACCGGCUAACUCCGU